GCGGGUGUAACUCAAUGGUAGAGAGUCAGCCUUCCAAGCUGAAAACGAGGGUUCGAUUCCCUUCACCCGCUCCA
This 74-nucleotide transfer RNA is filed under the name Candidatus Avidehalobacter gallistercoris. RNAcentral describes it as "tRNA-Gly". It matches the Rfam family "tRNA". Rfam says of the family: Transfer RNA (tRNA) molecules are approximately 80 nucleotides in length. Lineage: Bacteria; Bacillati; Bacillota; Clostridia; Eubacteriales; Peptococcaceae. The record is from RNAcentral.